This is a non-coding RNA of Pantherophis guttatus, 146 nucleotides long. NCBI's taxonomy places the organism in Eukaryota, Metazoa, Chordata, Lepidosauria, Squamata, Colubridae. The record is from RefSeq and is a predicted model, not a curated record.
CCCCUGAGUGAAGGAAUGGGACAUCUGCCAGUUUGAACUGAGGUAAUGGAAUGUGAGGCAAGUGGCAGUUGGAACUUUUCAGAACAAUGCUCUGGUAUCUGGGUUAGAAAUCAGGGGAGAAUGUUUAAAAAUUAAGCUUUUUAGUU